Corticium candelabrum is the source of this 1023-nucleotide long non-coding RNA. RefSeq lists it as uncharacterized. Lineage: Eukaryota; Metazoa; Porifera; Homoscleromorpha; Homosclerophorida; Plakinidae. The record is from RefSeq and is a predicted model, not a curated record. The transcript has 2 exons.
CCCGUAUGCACUUCCUCGCGGUUUUCAGUGGUCUGGUAGUACGAGGCUCGGCAGUCAAUGGACAUCUUGCAACCGCGAUUUUGACAUAAACGAAGUGCUGUCUUUUUGCGCACCUUUCGAGCAGUAACCUGCGCCGUUUAUUGAAAGGGGGCCUCAGUUUUUGUCGUCUGCUGAACGUGGUUUUCUCGGCACAAAUCAACUUCAAUAAAUUAGGCGACAGGUCUAAGGUGUUUGCACAGUCUACAGCAGGAAAUGGUAUUAUUCAUGUUCAGAUUUUCUUAAUUAAUUUGCUUAUUUUCUUAUCAUCUGAUCACUAUGAAUGGUUUCUAUUGGUUGGUGGAAAUUAUGAGCUGUUAAGAAUUUGGUGUUCAAGUUUUUGUAAGAGAGGAUGUUGGAGUUGUGACUGGCUCAAGCACUCGUUUUGUAUCGAACAAUGCUCGUCUCGAGGGUUAUGCUAACAUCUCAUCAGCUGAUCUAGAUCUAUUAUACCUAUAAAUCCAUCAAAUGCACGGCUACAGAGGAAGCAAAGACAAGAUUUGAUUUAGGAUGGGUUACUGUCAUGGAAAGUAGAAGGUUGAUUUGGAUAGUCAGGUUACAUUUGCAACCCUUGAGUGGGAAGUCUAUAGGUAAUGGGAGUAAUUGCGGCUCUCACAGAGGUAUUUUUGCAACACCACAGUUAGGAGAAAUAUGGAUUAAUAAAGAUCAAUUAUGGCAGUAUUGACUGCAGAAAAUAACUGCAAACUACCAAAAAGGACAACUGCAACUACUGUGAAUGGUUCUAUAGCAGACAAUCAAGACUACCAAAUCAGACUGGAUUUCUAUUCAAGCACUGCAUGUUUUUGAUUCUGCUUGUAGAUUAUUUUUACUGCUUGAGAUGGUUUAUUUUGUGUGAUAUGGAUAUGUUUAGUCUAUACUCUUCAAUUUUACAAGCGUUUGUUGAAUGUGUCAGCAGCAACUUGUUAUCAACGAUAUUCAUGAAUGUUGUAAGAAAUAUACUGUACAUAUACUUUACAAUUCCUACAA